UGCGCAGGCGGGUUUGUAAGUCAGUGGUGAAAUUCUGCCGCUUAACGGUAGAAUUGCCAUUGAUACUGCGAAUCUUGAGUAUGGUUGAGGUAGGCGGAAUGUGUAGUGUAGCGGUGAAAUGCAUAGAUAUUACACAGAACUCCGAUUGUGAAGGCAGCUUACUAAGCCAUAACUGACGCUGAGGCACGAAAGCGUGGGGAGCGAACAGGAUUAGAUACCCUGGUAGUCC
This 229-nucleotide ribosomal RNA is filed under the name uncultured bacterium. RNAcentral's name for it is "partial 16S ribosomal RNA". It matches the Rfam family "Bacterial small subunit ribosomal RNA", at positions 568 to 796 of the family's 1533-position model. The record is from RNAcentral.